AAUAGAUACCCAGGUAGUCCACGCUGUAAACGAUGAGGACUAAAUGUUGGUAGGGGAACCUAUCGGUAUUGAAGCUAACGCGAUAAGUCUUCCGCCUGGGAAGUACGGCCGCAAGGUUGAAACUCAAAUGAAUUGACGGGGGCCCGCACAAGCGGUGGAGCAUGUGGUUUAAUUCGAUGCAACGCGAAGAACCUUACCUACCCUUGACAUCCUGCGAAUCCCGAUGAGAGUUGGGAGUGCCGCAAGGAGCGCAGAGACAGGUGCUGCAUGGCUGUCGUCAGCUCGUGUUGUGAGAUGUUGGGUUAAGUCCCGUAACGAGCGCAACCCUUGUCCUUAGUUGCCAGCAUUAAGUUGGGGACUCUAAGGAGACUGCCGGUGAGGAACCGGAGGAAGGCGGGGACGACGUCAAGUCAUCAUGGCCUUUAUGGGUAGGGCUACACACGUGCUACAAUGGGGCGUACAGAGGGUCGCGAACCCGCGAGGGGGAGCCAAUCUCGAAUAACGUCGUCGUCGUACGGUCGUAGUGGUAGUC
This 532-nucleotide ribosomal RNA is filed under the name uncultured bacterium. RNAcentral's name for it is "bacterial SSU rRNA". It matches the Rfam family "Bacterial small subunit ribosomal RNA", at positions 777 to 1313 of the family's 1533-position model. The record is from RNAcentral.